RNAcentral lists this ribosomal RNA (293 nucleotides) under uncultured eukaryote. RNAcentral describes it as "partial 18S ribosomal RNA". It matches the Rfam family "Eukaryotic small subunit ribosomal RNA", at positions 6 to 291 of the family's 1831-position model. The record is from RNAcentral.
GGUUGAUCCUGCCAGUAGUUAUAUGCUUGUCUCAAAGAUUAAGCCAUGCAUGUCUAAGUAUAAACCAAUUCAUACGGUGAAACUGCGAAUGGCUCAUUAUAUCAGUUAUAGUUUAUUUGAUGAUCAACUUCCACUUGGAUAACCGUGGUAAUUCUAGAGCUAAUACAUGCACGACGGAGCGGGAGGCCUAGCCUUCAACCGCUGUAUUUAUUAGGUAACCAACAGCGAGGGGACCUUCACGGGUCGCCUCGUUUAGAUGAUUCAUGAUAACUUUACGAAUCGCAUUGCGCGAU